RNAcentral lists this non-coding RNA (21 nucleotides) under Arabidopsis thaliana (thale cress). Lineage: Eukaryota; Viridiplantae; Streptophyta; Magnoliopsida; Brassicales; Brassicaceae. The record is from RNAcentral.
AUCAAUUUUAAGGUUAAUGGU